CCUACGGGUGGCAGCAGUGGGGAAUAUUUCUCAAUGGGCGGGAGCCGGACGCAGCGACGCCGCGUGAGGGAUGAAGGUCUUCGGAUCGUAAACCUCUGUCAGCAGGGAAGAACGGUCACUGUGUUAAUCAGCAGUGAAUUGACGGUACCUGCAAAGGAAGCACCGGCUAAUUCCGUGCCAGCAGCCGCGGUAAUACGGAGGGUGCGAGCGUUAAUCGGAAUUACUGGGCGUAAAGCGCUCGUAGGCGGUAUGUCAAGUGAAGGGUGAAAUCCCCGCGCUCAACGUGGGAACUGCCUUUGAAACUGGCAGACUGGAGUGUGUGAGAGGAUAGUGGAAUUCCAGGUGUAGGAGUGAAAUCCGUAGAUAUCUGGAGGAACAUCAGUGGCGAAGGCGACUAUCUGGCACAUAACUGACGCUGAGGAGCGAAAGCGUGGGUAGCAAACAGGAUUAGAUACCCCAGUAGUC
Molecule: ribosomal RNA, 465 nt
Filed under: uncultured bacterium
Lineage: Bacteria
Description: partial 16S ribosomal RNA
Rfam family: Bacterial small subunit ribosomal RNA
Source: RNAcentral